UACAGAGGGGGCAAGCGUUGUUCGGAAUUACUGGGCGUAAAGGGCGCGUAGGUGGCCUUCUAAGUUGAACGUGAAAUCCCUGGGCUCAACCCAGGAACUGCGUCCAAGACUGGGAGGCUUGAAUCCGGGAGAGGGAUGCGGAAUUCCAGGUGUAGCGGUGAAAUGCGUAGAUAUCGGGAGGAACACCAGUGGCGAAGGCGACUACCUGGCCUGUUCUUGACGCUGAGGCGCGAAAGCUAGGGGAGCAAACGGG
RNAcentral lists this ribosomal RNA (253 nucleotides) under uncultured bacterium. Its description in RNAcentral is "partial 16S ribosomal RNA". It matches the Rfam family "Bacterial small subunit ribosomal RNA", at positions 524 to 776 of the family's 1533-position model. The record is from RNAcentral.